Molecule: transfer RNA, 361 nt
Filed under: uncultured Microcystis sp.
Lineage: Bacteria; Bacillati; Cyanobacteriota; Cyanophyceae; Chroococcales; Microcystaceae
Description: partial 16S-23S ribosomal RNA intergenic spacer
Rfam family: tRNA (bases 136-209)
Source: RNAcentral
AAAGGGAGACCUAAUUCAGGUAAAAGACGAAAAAAAAGUAGUCGCUACCAAGAAUCAAUCCCAAAAGGUCGGAGCGAGGCGAAAUUGGCUUUCAAACUAGGUUCUGGGUUCACACAAGACCUGAAUCAGGAACAAGGGCUAUUAGCUCAGGUGGUUAGAGCGCACCCCUGAUAAGGGUGAGGUCCCUGGUUCGAGUCCAGGAUGGCCCACCUGCACAGGUGGCAAAAACAAGAGAAGCGAGGAAUCAGCACCUUAUCUUACUUAUAUAGUAAGAGAGAAUGCUGGCUCUGAGUAAAGAGUCCAGAGGAACCUUGAAAACUGCAUAGAGCUAGGUGAAAAAGCCAAAAAAGAAGACCGCAAG